Molecule: ribosomal RNA, 465 nt
Filed under: uncultured bacterium
Lineage: Bacteria
Description: partial 16S ribosomal RNA
Rfam family: Bacterial small subunit ribosomal RNA
Source: RNAcentral
GACGAACGCUGGCGGCGUGCUUAACACAUGCAAGUCGAACGGAAAGGCCCUGCUUGCAGGGUACUCGAGUGGCGAACGGGUGAGUAACACGUGGGUGAUCUGCCCUGCACUUCGGGAUAAGCCUGGGAAACUGGGUCUAAUACCGGAUAGAAGCCAUUUUUAGUGUGAUGGUUGGAAAGUUUUUUCGGUGUAGGAUGAGUUCGCGGCCUAUCGGCUUGUUGGGGGGGUAAUGGCCUACCAAGGCGGCGACGGGUAGCCGGCCUGAGAGGGUGGACGGCCACAUUGGGACUGAGAGACGGCCCAGACACCUACGGGAGGCAGCAGUGGGGAAUAUUGCACAAGGGGCGCAAGCCUGAUGCAGCGGCGCCGCGUGGGGGAUGACGGUCUUCGGGUUGUAGACUCCUUUCGCUAGGGACGAAGCUUUUUGUGACGGUACCUAGAUAAGAAGCACCGGCUAACUACGUG